CGUAGGUGGCAAGCGUUGUCCGGAUUCAUUGGGCGUAAAGCGCCCGCAGGCGGCUCAGCAAGUUUCAGGUGAAAUCUCCCGGCUCAACUGGGAGGGGUCUUGGAAAACUGCUGGGCUUGAGGCAGGGAGAGGGAUGCGGAAUGUCAGGUGUAGUGGUGAAAUGCGUAGAUAUCUGACGGAACACCAGUGGCGAAGGCGGCAUCCUGGCCCUGUCCUGACGCUCAGGGGCGAAAGCGUGGGGAGCAAACCGGAUUAGAUACCCGGGUAGUCCACGCCGUAAACGAUGAGUACUAGGUGUAGGGGGUAUCGACCCCCUCUGUGCCGAAGCUAACGCGAUAAGUACUACGCCUGGGGACUACGGCCGCAAGGCUA
Molecule: ribosomal RNA, 372 nt
Filed under: uncultured organism
Description: bacterial SSU rRNA
Rfam family: Bacterial small subunit ribosomal RNA
Source: RNAcentral